RNAcentral lists this ribosomal RNA (450 nucleotides) under uncultured bacterium. RNAcentral describes it as "partial 16S ribosomal RNA". It matches the Rfam family "Bacterial small subunit ribosomal RNA", at positions 338 to 795 of the family's 1533-position model. The record is from RNAcentral.
CCUACGGGCGGCUGCAGUCAGGAAUAUUGGUCAAUGGACGCAAGUCUGAACCAGCCAUGCCGCGUGGAGGAUGAAGGUCCUCUGGAUUGUAAACUUCUUUUAUUUGGGAAGAAACUCCCGAUUUCCAUCGGGAUUGACGGUACCAGAUGAAUAAGCACCGGCUAACUCCGUGCCAGCAGCCGCGGUAAUACGGAGGGUGCAAGCGUUAUCCGGAUUCACGGGGUUUAAAGGGUGCGUGUAUGGGCAGGUAGAAAUCUCCGGGCUUAAACCGGGAACUGCCAUUGAUACUAUUUGUCUUGAAUACGCAGGAGGUGAGCGGAAUAUGUCAUGUAGCGGUGAAAUGCUUAGAUAUGACAUAGAACACCCAUUGCGAAGGCAGCUCACUAAGGAAAUAUUGACGCUGAGGCACGAAAGCGUGGGGAUCAAACAGGAUUAGAUACCCCGGUAGUC